UACGAAGGGGGCUAGCGUUGCUCGGAAUUACUGGGCGUAAAGAGUGUGUAGGCGGUGCUCUAAGUUUGGUGUGAAAUCUCCCGGCUCAACUGGGAGGGUGCGCCGAAAACUGGAAUGCUUGAACAUGGGAGAGGAAAGCGGAAUUCCUGGUGUAGCGGUGAAAUGCGUAGAUAUCAGGAGGAACACCUGCGGUGUAGACGGCUUUCUGGACCAUUGUUGACGCUGAGACACGAAAGCGUGGGUAGCAAACAGG
RNAcentral lists this ribosomal RNA (253 nucleotides) under uncultured bacterium. Its description in RNAcentral is "partial 16S ribosomal RNA". It matches the Rfam family "Bacterial small subunit ribosomal RNA", at positions 524 to 776 of the family's 1533-position model. The record is from RNAcentral.